GUGCCAGCAGCGGCGGUAAUACGUAGGGUGCAAGCGUUAAUCGGAAUUACUGGGCGUAAAGCGUGCGCAGGCGGUUCGGAAAGAAAGAUGUGAAAUCCCAGAGCUCAACUUUGGAACUGCAUUUUUAACUACCGGGCUAGAGUGUGUCAGAGGAGGUGGAAUUCCGCGUGUAGCAGUGAAAUGCGUAGAUAUGCGGAGGAACACCGAUGGCGAAGGCAGCCUCCUGGGAUAACACUGACGCUCAGGCACGAAAGCGUGGGGAGCAAACAGGAUUAGAUACCCUGGUAGUCCACGCCCUAAACGAUGUCAACUAGCUGUUGGUUCUUCGGAACUUAGUAGCGCAGCUAACGCGUGAAGUUGACCGCCUGGGGAGUACGGUCGCAAGAUUAAAACUCAAAGGAAUUGACGGGGACCCGCACAAGCGGUGAUGAUGUGGAUUAAUUCGAUGCAACGCGAAAAACCUCCUACGCUUGACAUGUCUGGAAUCCUGGAGAGAUCCGGGAGUGC
RNAcentral lists this ribosomal RNA (507 nucleotides) under uncultured Achromobacter sp. Its description in RNAcentral is "bacterial SSU rRNA". It matches the Rfam family "Bacterial small subunit ribosomal RNA", at positions 505 to 1017 of the family's 1533-position model. Lineage: Bacteria; Pseudomonadati; Pseudomonadota; Betaproteobacteria; Burkholderiales; Alcaligenaceae. The record is from RNAcentral.